CAUGCAAAUCCCUGUCACUGCUAGAUAUGUGUCCCUGCCCAGCUCCCAUCUCAAACAGGAGUGGCCCCAAACGCUGUGCUCCGUGUGGCAGAGAGUAGAAGAGACACACAGGAUGGCUGCUGCAGUUCCAGCCCUCAAAUCAGCACCCCAAAGAAAAGCAUCACUUCUGGAAGCUGGGCCAGAAGAUCGAAGAAGAAUGUUUCUUUGAUGCAUCUUAUUGACCAAAAUUGGGCCACAUGCCUGUUCCUGAGCCAUCACCAGGAAAGAAGUGGAAAAGCACAUUGCUCAGGGCCAGAGAGAGUGUCAGCUUUCCUCAAGGUAUCUGGACUGGUUAAGGAGCUCAGGUAUAUAAUUCUUCCUGCAGAAGGAUGUGGGCUGUGUUUGCAUGUGUAUGAGACCAGACUCUGCGGCUGCCCGUUUGUUUUGGUUGUCUUAAUGAUGAUCGUGGAUUGCUUCAGGACCGAUGGGUCUGCAGCCUCUGGACCCGUAAGAGAGAUGGCCCAAAUGAGCAAACGGGUUCAACUUAUGAUGGCACCUUACAGUUUUGAGGUCAAACUAGAUGUGACAUCUGUCACCUCUCUGUCACAAGAGCUUGACAUGUCUCUGCUUUUCCUCAUUGCUCAGGAUGCAUGCUUCCCGAGGCUGGACAUCUCAUCUUCCAUCACGAGGUGUCUAUGGAGCCCAGGAAAAGCCAGAGGAGCCUCAACAGCUGGAUGCUAUAAAUGCCUCAGUUUUGGCACUCAUCUUUCAAUCACUUCACUAAUCGUAUAUAGAAUAUUCAGGAAAAGGAUGUUUGCCAUGGAUGCAUCAUCUGCUUCCCAGCUCUGCAGUAUCUGA
Molecule: long non-coding RNA, 837 nt
Filed under: Suricata suricatta (meerkat)
Lineage: Eukaryota; Metazoa; Chordata; Mammalia; Carnivora; Herpestidae
Description: lncRNA (ENSSSUG00005000303.1)
Source: RNAcentral